CUAAUUCGUUUACUUUUACUCAGUCAUUAGACUGAGGUUUGAAUGAUUUUAAGUGGUUAGAAAAUCUGUAGUAGACAAAGAAAAGUUACCAUUUACUUUCUUUAAGGCAGUUUCUAAAAUAUUUAGAAUUCUAGAAUAUUUUUAACAAUGGUGGCAGCUCUGAAGCAAAUAUCUAACAUCCAUCAUCAAGAACCUUGGAAAGACUGACUCUUCCUUGGAUGUUUAAAUUCUUCUAUGUUACUUAAAAAUAGCAAUUAUCUUAUAGCAUAUUCUUACCUGGUGAAAUAAACAGAAAGGAUCAAGUAAGCAGUAGAUUUGAAAAUCUAAAUUCAGAGAUAUAUAUAAAGAUUAUCUUGAAUUGUAAAUGUUGUUACACCAAAGGGUUCAAAAUACCUAGAAAGUCUUAAUUUUCCAAGUAGAAUUUUUCCCUGAGUAAUUAAACUGUAGUCCUCAACUUUAGAAAUUUUCCAUUAUCUGAAUAGCUCUACAUCCUCAAAAAGAUCAGUGCAGAGUGUAAUAGAAUUGCAUAAUUCACAAUAUGAAAUGGGAUAAUUUGAAUUGGAGCUGAGUUGAAGCAUAAUAUUA
Molecule: long non-coding RNA, 585 nt
Filed under: Bos taurus (domestic cattle)
Lineage: Eukaryota; Metazoa; Chordata; Mammalia; Artiodactyla; Bovidae
Description: long non-coding RNA NONBTAT020179
Source: RNAcentral